UCGCGGCUUAUCACCGGCAGUCUCGCAUGAGUCCCCAACUAAAUGCUGGCAACAUGCGACAGGGGUUCGCUCGUUGCGGGACUUAACCCAACAUCUCGCGACACGAGCUGACGACAGCCAUGCACCACCUGUGAUCCUGCCCGUGAGGGAAGCCCUGUUUCCAGGGCGGUCAGGAACAUGUCAAACCCAGGUAAGGUUCUUCGCGUUGCGUCGAAUUAAACCACACGCUCCGCUGCUUGUGCGGGCCCCCGUCAAUUCCUUUGAGUUUUAACCUUGCGGUCGUAGUUCCCAGGCGGAGUGCUUAACGCGUUAGCUUCGGCACGGAGGGGGUCGAUACCCCCCAUACCCAGCACUCAUCGUUUAUGGCGUGGACUAC
RNAcentral lists this unclassified non-coding RNA (376 nucleotides) under uncultured Solirubrobacterales bacterium. Its description in RNAcentral is "contains 16S-23S intergenic spacer region". Lineage: Bacteria; Bacillati; Actinomycetota; Thermoleophilia; Solirubrobacterales. The record is from RNAcentral.